Molecule: unclassified non-coding RNA, 2003 nt
Filed under: Hevea brasiliensis (rubber tree)
Lineage: Eukaryota; Viridiplantae; Streptophyta; Magnoliopsida; Malpighiales; Euphorbiaceae
Source: RNAcentral
GUACUUCUGAAAUCAAUUUGCUAUUAGUCUUUACCAAGUAAAUCGGUGCCUAAGCAAAACUUGCUCACCGGCUUGAGAAUUAAGAAGAGAAAUUAAAGAAUCAAAUACAAGUCUUUUUGGUAGCAAGGCCAAGGUUGUUCCUUGUGGUUAUAAAAAAUGCAGAAGCAUCAAAGCAUUUCACAAGAUCCAAGUUGAUACAAAAUUCAUGCUUUAGAACAAUGAUCUAUUCAGUGAUGUAUUUAUCGGACUCUGGCAGUUGAUUUUUUAGCAAAAGUCAUUUUCCGCGGAUCUAUCACAUCCACUCUUAUCACAAGCACUGUGCCAUUUUCUUCCUCCGUCCAUGGUAUGGAAUCCCUCUCCAAAAAUUUCAGUACCAGACGCUUCCGGGGACCUUUAGCUUCUUCAGCAGUGAUCCCAACUAAGAUUUUGAGAUAUUGAAUAGACGAGAAUCCACAAAGAGAAGUCAACUGAAGUUUGAGUAAGCGCACUGCAUCCUUUGGCUCCAAAUCGUGAAGGUCGAGUGUCACAAUUUCUUUGCUGGAACUGCAACUGGUUUCAAGAAGCUUUUGAGAGGAUUUUUCAUCCGUCACUUGCGCCUUCGUCAUGAAAAAUUGUCCCUCUUCCAGGAAUUUGCGUGCUUGAUCAUGAUCUCCUUUGGAGAAUGCUUCAGAAGCUGCAUUAUAGUACUCUUUCAUUGUAAUCCAGUACUCCUUUACAGCUUUCCGAAGAACUUCGUAGCUUUCUUCAUCCUCCUCACCAUUUUUUGCAUCACUUUGUGGUGUCCUGAUAAGAAUCUGGCGUUCUAAAGUCUCCUGUAAUGGUUUAUCUACAACGAGAUUUAAUCUACUAGACUUCCCAACUUCCUUCACCGGACGAAUCACUUCAUCCACAUUAUCAUAUCUUGAAGCUGCAGGUACAUCAAACAAUGCAUGCAGAACUUCCUUUUGAAUCUCAUACCUUUCCUGCUCCUUCAUAGAUAACUUGAGCCCAUUUUUAGUCUUCUCAUUUGCUUUGGAACUGCAUCAGCAAAAAUAGAAGGAUGACAGUCAAUCCAUAACAACACCUUGAAAAUCUACAAAAUCAGUUUAACCAAAAAAAAAAGAGAACUUCCUGGACAUUAAAUUAUAGUUUCUGGAGGACAGAGUACCGGAUGGCUGGAUCUGUCAUUGAAGAUGUCUCUUUUGAUACAACUGAUGCAAAAUCUGAACUCUCCACAGAUUUCUUGACACCUAUAUUUAUAAUAUCAUCGCUCUUUCCCAAAGUUGAUGCGGACAUAUCUAGCAGCUUAUCCAUACUCUUGUUCAGAUCGUAGCUGCAUUGACCAACAACAUCUCCAAUUACACUCCUGUCAAGAGAAAAUCCGCUUCCCAGCAUGUUGAAGAGGAACUCCUCUACACUGCUGGGCAGGGUUUCACUCAUAGCUGCAGCACCUAAUGGAGCUUUCUCCUCCCUUAGCUCUGGGGUUAAGAAAUCAUCUGCGCUUAAUUUCAGUGGCUUGAUUCUCGUAGAAGUUUCUGUAAUUAGUGGCCUAUUCGUCAGAUAGUCUUUUGGGAUCAUGCUUGAGACAGUCCCCAUAGACACUGAUAACUUUUUUUGCUUUGAUGACCUGGGACCAACUCUCUUGGCAUCAAUCUCAGAUACAGAUGCAGAUGUCGAUAUCAUAGAGUCCCCUACUUCCUCAAAUUCAGAAGUCAGAGUCACGGAAUCCUCUAUGUUUUCUUCCAUCUCAGAGUUAGUAGUUCCGGAGCUGCUAGGUUUCUGAUCUCCAAGUAUAUCACCUGCAAUAAUUGGAUCCCGACCUGCUUUACAAUAAGCUGCAGCGAUGUCAUCGAGAGAGACAACAGAUCCAAAGACAUCAAGCAAUUGCUCCAGGUUCUUGCUAUCAUCAUCAGUAAACAAGAUUGUCGAAGGAGGUGCCUCCAUCUUCAUCCUUGCAGUAUAAGAUGAAAUAAGAACCGUGUAUAAACUUGCCGGCCGAUGAUAGAUAGAGAAUGAGAGCCAAA